GACGAACCGUACGAACGUUAUUCGGAAUCACUGGGCUUAAAGGGUGCGUAGGCUGCGCAGCAAGUUGGGUGUGAAAUCCCUCGGCUCAACCGAGGAACUGCGCCCAAAACUGCUGUGCUCGAGGGAGAUAGAGGUGAGCGGAACUUAGGGUGGAGCGGUGAAAUGCGUUGAUAUCCUAAGGAACACCGGUGGCGAAAGCGGCUCACUGGAUCUCUUCUGACGCUGAGGCACGAAAGCUAGGGUAGCGAACGGG
This 253-nucleotide ribosomal RNA is filed under the name uncultured bacterium. RNAcentral's name for it is "partial 16S ribosomal RNA". It matches the Rfam family "Bacterial small subunit ribosomal RNA", at positions 524 to 776 of the family's 1533-position model. The record is from RNAcentral.